RNAcentral lists this ribosomal RNA (253 nucleotides) under uncultured bacterium. RNAcentral's name for it is "partial 16S ribosomal RNA". It matches the Rfam family "Bacterial small subunit ribosomal RNA", at positions 524 to 776 of the family's 1533-position model. The record is from RNAcentral.
UACGUAGGGUGCGAGCGUUAAUCGGAAUUACUGGGCGUAAAGGGUGCGUAGGUGGCCUCGCAAGUCGCGUGUGAAAUCCCCAGGCUUAACCUGGGAAUUGCGCUCGAAACUACGGAGCUGGAGUAUGGCAGAGGGAGGUGGAAUUCCACGUGUAGCGGUGAAAUGCGUAGAGAUGUGGAGGAACACCAAUGGCGAAGGCAGCCUCCUGGGCCAAUACUGACGCUCAUGCACGAAAGCGUGGGGAGCAAACAGG